GAUGAACGCUGGCGGCGUGCUUAACACAUGCAAGUCGAACGGUGAACACGGAGCUUGCUCUGUUGGAUCAGUGGCGAACGGGUGAGUAACACGUGAGCAACCUGCCCCUGACUCUGGGAUAAGCGCUGGAAACGGCGUCUAAUACUGGAUAUGUGACGUGACCGCAUGGUCUGCGUUUGGAAAGAUUUUUCGGUUGGGGAUGGGCUCGCGGCCUAUCAGCUUGUUGGUGAGGUAAUGGCUCACCAAGGCGUCGACGGGUAGCCGGCCUGAGAGGGUGACCGGCCACACUGGGACUGAGACACGGCCCAGACUCCUACGGGAGGCAGCAGUGGGGAAUAUUGCACAAUGGGCGCAAGCCUGAUGCAGCAACGCCGCGUGAGGGAUGACGGCCUUCGGGUUGUAAACCUCUUUUAGCAGGGAAGAAGCGAAAGUGACGGUACCUGCAGAAAAAGCGCCGGCUAACUACGCG
This 469-nucleotide ribosomal RNA is filed under the name uncultured bacterium. RNAcentral's name for it is "partial 16S ribosomal RNA". It matches the Rfam family "Bacterial small subunit ribosomal RNA", at positions 28 to 507 of the family's 1533-position model. The record is from RNAcentral.